GGAAUUGUUCGCAAUGGGCGCAAGCCUGACGACGCAACGCCGCGUGGAGGAUGAAGACCUUCGGGUCGUAAACUCCUUUCGACCGAGAUGAACACCCGCCGACCUAAUACGUCGGCAGGCCGACAGUAUCGAAGGAAGAAGCCCCGGCUAACCCCGGGCCAGCAGCCGCGGUAAUACGGGGGGGGCAAGCGUUGUUCGGAAUUACUGGGCGUAAAGGGUUCGUAGGUGGCCUGCUAAGUCAGACGUGAAAUCCCUCAGCUUAACUGGGGAACUGCGUCUGAGACUGGCGGGCUUGAGUGCAGGAGAGGAACGCGGAAUUCCAGGUGUAGCGGUGAAAUGCGUAGAUAUCUGGAGGAACACCGGUGGCGAAGGCGGCGUUCUGGACUGUCACUGACACUGAGGAACGAAAGCCAGGGGAGCAAAC
RNAcentral lists this ribosomal RNA (424 nucleotides) under uncultured bacterium. RNAcentral describes it as "bacterial SSU rRNA". It matches the Rfam family "Bacterial small subunit ribosomal RNA", at positions 358 to 773 of the family's 1533-position model. The record is from RNAcentral.